RNAcentral lists this ribosomal RNA (460 nucleotides) under uncultured bacterium. Its description in RNAcentral is "partial 16S ribosomal RNA". It matches the Rfam family "Bacterial small subunit ribosomal RNA", at positions 338 to 795 of the family's 1533-position model. The record is from RNAcentral.
CCUACGGGUGGCAGCAGUGAGGAAUAUUGGUCAAUGGGCGCGAGCCUGAACCAGCCAAGUAGCGUGAAGGAUGACUGCCCUACGGGUUGUAAACUUCUGUUAUAAAGGAAUAAAGUGAGGCACGUGUGCCGUUUUGUAUGUACUUUAUGAAUAAGGAUCGGCUAACUCCGUGCCAGCAGCCGCGGUAAUACGGAGGAUCCGAGCGUUAUCCGGAUUUAUUGGGGUUAAAGGGAGCGUAGAUGGGUUGUUAAGUCAGUUGUGAAAGUUUGCGGCUCAACCGUAAAAUUGCAAUUGAUACUGGCAGUCUUGAGUACAGUUGAGGUAGGCGGAAUUCGUGUUGUAGCGGUGAAAUGCUUAGAUAUCACGAAGAACUCCGAUUGCGAAGGCAGCUUACCAAGCUACUUCUGACGUUGAGGCACGACAGCGUGGGGAGCAAACAGGAUUAGAUACCCCUGUAGUC